UAGCGAAACGCCCCCUCCGGGGGCGUCGCCCCGGGGUGGUGCCCGGGGCCUGACGAGCCAGCCGCUC
Molecule: non-coding RNA, 67 nt
Filed under: Streptomyces cinnamoneus
Lineage: Bacteria; Bacillati; Actinomycetota; Actinomycetes; Kitasatosporales; Streptomycetaceae
Source: RNAcentral